Molecule: small nuclear RNA, 104 nt
Organism: Octopus sinensis (East Asian common octopus)
Lineage: Eukaryota; Metazoa; Mollusca; Cephalopoda; Octopoda; Octopodidae
Source: RefSeq, a predicted model, not a curated record
GUCCCCACUAUGGCAAUACACAUACUGAAAUUAGAAUGAUACAGAGAUUAGCGUGACCCCUGUGCAAGGAUAAUAUGCAAAUUUGUGAUGCACUCUAUAUUGAG